Molecule: unclassified non-coding RNA, 253 nt
Filed under: uncultured Bacteroidota bacterium
Lineage: Bacteria; Pseudomonadati; Bacteroidota
Description: uncultured Bacteroidetes bacterium contains 16S-23S intergenic spacer region
Rfam family: Bacterial small subunit ribosomal RNA
Source: RNAcentral
UACGGAGGGUGCAAGCGUUGUCCGGAAUCAUUGGGUGUAAAGGGUGUGUAGGUGGAGAUGUAAGUCAGGGGUGAAAGCCCGCGGCUCAACCGCGGAACUGCCUUUGAUACUGCAUUUCUUGAGUCCUGGAGAGGUCACUAGAAUUCGUGGUGUAGCGGUGAAAUGCGUAGAUAUCACGAGGAAUACCAGAGGCGUAGGCGGGUGGCUGGACAGGUACUGACACUGAGGCACGAAAGCGUGGGGAGCAAACAGG